Molecule: RNA transcript, 5358 nt
Organism: Brassica rapa (field mustard)
Lineage: Eukaryota; Viridiplantae; Streptophyta; Magnoliopsida; Brassicales; Brassicaceae
Source: RefSeq, a predicted model, not a curated record
ACCGCAUUUGGUAGUUAACCAGUCAUAAGUCACCCGCAAACACACCAAUUUUUAACCGCAGUACCAGUCGUACAAAUCUCUUAAAACCGCUAGAAACCGCAACCGCCCGCAUCCACAAACUCCCGCAACCGCAACCGCUGCGUUUGAACCAGUCAGGCCCUUAGUGUUCUUUGGCAAUAGUACAUGACUUUUCUUUGAUAAAUAAAUUACGUGACUUUUCUAAUAAUUUUAUUUUUUUCAAAAUAUUAGUAUUUAUAUAUUUAUGCAUUAAUAUAGAAAAGAUAAAGAAAAAGAUCAAUGGAUUAAUAAUAACUAUAAUUUUUAUAUCAUUUAAAUUAAAAUUCUUAAAUUACAAAAUAUCUCAUAUUAGUAAAAAAAUUCUUAAUUUAAAAUUUUAAAGAAUUUUUUAAUUAAAAUAGCUCAUAUUAAACUAAAACAUAAAUAUAAUAUAGGAAUGUAUUUCUCGAAAUUUAGAACCAUAAUUGCAGGCAUAUGCAUACUGAAGGCUCUUCAACCCUCCAAAACAUAGAUUUUAUUUUCACUCUACAAAUCCAAAAGUAUAUUGUAAAAUAGAUCUUCGACAAUAUAGUAAAUCAAAAGUCUUGAACUCAAUUGCUUUAAAAUCAAAAUGAAGUGACUGGAAUCAUCUAAUAUAAAUAUAUAUACACACACACACAUAUAUAUAUAUAAGCAAUGAAGAUAUAAUAAAUUCAUUUACUAUUCACAUGAUGUAAUAUAAGUUUCUCAAAAAUCAAAUUAAACUUUCAUUGAUUUGAAUGGUUUCAAAUUAAUUUGCAACAGAGUUAAAAACGGCCAUUAGUGAGGUAGGAAAGCUUUUUUGGAAGUAUUAUUUAGGUUUCAGAAAUGGAUAUGAAUGAUGAAGGGGAAGAAAAGCAAGGCUCAUCUAUUUUAAAGUGAUUGAUUUGCCAAUGGUAAUUAAAGUGAUGAUCAAUCAAAUAUCUCAAGGUUUCCAUAUACAAUUAAUACUAACACACAAAUAUAUAAUGGUAUAAAUUAGCAAGGAAACAAUAUAUCUUUGUAUACUGAUAUUCCUUUUUUCAUCUUAUAAAAUAUAUUUAAAAGCACCCAUCGACAAUAGAAUAUACACAAAUAAAGACAUUCUAAUAAAUUUAGCUGGAUCACAAUAAGAUAUAUAAUCUUGACCAACGUAAACAUACUUGUAUAUAGUCAUUGAAAUGCAAUGUUGUUAAUCAUGAAUUAGCUUGACCAACUAAGUUAUAUAUAGGCAUUGCAGGUUCAGCUUGUUAAAAAUCCAAUUUUGUAACUCGAAUAAGUAUAGUGCAAGGUUGUUCGACUAUCAAGUAUUCAAUUUUCUACAAAGGAACGGUUGUUCAGAUUUACUUUCAGGCUUUAAGAACAACUAUCUGAGUUUACAAACGCUUAAAAUAGUCUUCUUUGCUGACGUAAUUGGUAAUAAGAGGUUGAAUGUUACAUUAGUUUCUUUUGUCCGAGUUGUUAGUGAAAUAAUCUUGUUUUCAUACUAACAUGUUAUCAGAGGAAGACAUUUCACAUUUUCAGUGACUUUUGUUCAUUUGAUUUCUAUCGAGGAAGAUGUUACUCAGGUGGUAUGAAAAAAAAACACUGAUAAUAUAAUUAAAGUGAGUCAAAAUAUUGUGAUACUAUAAUGAAAGUGGGUCACGAAUUGUUUUAUGGAGAAAUUACAUGUUUACCACUUUCUUACUAUCACUUUUCAUUUUUACCACCGUUAAAGGAACAUUUACAAAAAUACAUUCUUCUUACUAUCAUUGUUCUUUAUAUAUAUCAUAAAUAAAAAUACAAAAAUAUAAAGUAAUUUUUUAAUUUUUUUCGAAUUAUACUAUUUCGAAAUUCAAACCCUAACCCCUCAAAACUCAACUCUAAACCCUAAACCAUCAAUCCUAAACCAUAUUUUAUUUUUGAAAUAUGAAAUCUAAACCUUAAACCGUCAAUCUUAAACCCUAUUUUUUUUGGAAAUACGAACCCUAAACCCUGAAACAUCAACUCUAAAUUCUAAAGCCCGAAACAUCAAUUCUAAAUCCUAAAACAUCAACUCUAAACACUAAACCCUAAACUUUAAAUCUAAACCCUAAACACUAAACCCUAAACGAAACAAGUGUUCAUCACUUUCAGAGGUCAAACUCACAGAGAAGGCCUUGUGAGUUUUCUUACAGAUAAAUUAGGGACGAGCGGUAUCAACAAGACGAGAGGGUAUCCGAUCACAAUAGUUUUCCGACGAAUCAGAGAGUCAGGUGUUGCAAUCGUCUUCUUCUCAGCCAAGCCAAGUACCCCGAGUCAUGCUGGUGCUUAGACGAGCUCGUUGAGAUCAAGAAGCAAAUGGAGAUAGGAUCUAUUAUCCCUUUUCCAGUAUUCUACAAAGUGAGAGCUGAGUCCGUCAAGAAACAGACUGGUUGGUUCGGCCAUGCUCUCCUCAGAACUGAGGAUCUUGUUCGCAAGAAAGUUGAUCGCGGAAGCAACAAGUCAAUUCUUGAAGCAGAGUUAAAGAUCUGGGAGUGGGAGAGGAGGCAAGCCAUAGUGUCUGUUGGAGGAAGAAUGGGGUUUCCUUAUAAACAUAGCUCUGAUGAGGUUUUCCUAAGUGAACUUGUCGUCAAAGUUAAGGAACUAAGGGAAUCAGCAUGGGUUGGUUUUGAGGUACGUAUGUGAAGAAAAUAUUAAUAGAAAAAGUAAAAAUUAGAAAGGGAAGGUAGUACCUAGGAAGAACGAUUCUUUAUAAAAAAAAAACCCAUCAAACUUAUUCUGAGGUACUCAUCUCCAAGUGUUAGCUUUUUACAGCUACAUCUUAUUAGAAAACAUUAAUUUUAAUUGCAUAACAAAUUACACUUACAAAUAUUAAUAAACUUAUAUUUAGGUACUCAUUUAGAGAGACUUGCUACUAAAGAUGUUCUAAGAGCACGAUUAAUGCAAGUUUCUUAGUUAGUUUUUACUAUUAAAAUAUAAAAAAAUAAUUACAAAUAUGAAAGAGAAAUAAAAUAUGUCUCUUAUUUAAGAGAUAUAAGAGACAUCUCUUAACUUAGUCUCUAAUUUUCUUCCACGUAUCUUUUUAUGAAUGAUUUAUUUUAUUUUAUUAAAAUAAAUUUUAAUUAUAGAAUUAUUUUAUUAAUAAAAUUUAUUUAAUAGACUCUAUUGUGGGUAUAUACCAUUGAUCAUGUUCUAAUAGACACAAUUUCUUCUCCAAAAAAUAUUCAGAUUGUUAUAGAGAAACCUAUGAUGCAUCCCGAGGAGGCAGUGAUGUCGUUAUUACAAGCUUUAAACCUUAGCAAGUUAGCAUAUCAUCGGACAUUAAAGAUCUUAUUACGAAGCCGUUCAUUCAUAUCAAUGGUUCCCUGAGCACUGAUCAUCUGGUGUUUCUCGACCUGAACUCUAUUAAGAACCCUCUCCUGGCUCAGACACUAUUCAAGCCGGGUCAAGCUGGAAAUAUUCUCUUGGUGCUGCUUGGUUUUCUAGAAUACUACAAUGUGGAAGUCACUAGUAAGUUUCUUGCAUGUCACGCAACGAUCACUCUUUUACAUGUAUCCUUUUAUUCCUUAAUUUCGUUCAACUGACGAAUUGCUCAAUUGUGGUAGGUUUUUUUCGGGUUUGGAUCCCUCGGGUCCUAGAUAUUUGGAUCGAACUAGGUACUUAGACUUUUUUUAUUUGGAUUUGAAUUGGUUUUUAUCGGGUUCGGAUUUGGGUUUAUAAUUUCAAUACCCGUAACUUUUUGGAUAUAUAUCGGGAUAAUGUAUUUAGGACAAAAACUGAAUCCGAAAAACUAAAAAAAAAAGAAUACUCAAAGACCGAAAUACACUCGAAGAACCAAAAAAAAAACCCGAAAUCUGACUCGAAAAAUCAAAAUACCUGAAAUAUUACUCAAAAAUCCCAAUUAUAUUUUUUUAAGUCAAAAAUUUUAUCCGAAACUAUAACCGAAAACCCGAACUUGAAACUUAAAAAAAAUAUCUGAAAUAUCAAAAAAUGACAAAACACCCAAAUUUACCUAAUAUGUACAAAAAAUUUCUCGUAUUUCGGAUACCCCGGGUCUCAAAUAGGAUCUGGAUCCGAACCGAGAUCCGCAGAUCUAAAGAAAAAAGACCUAACAAGUAUUUUAGUAUGAACCCAGAACUGGACCCGAACUUGUAUUUGGAUCGGUUCGGUUUAGAUUUUCGGGUCCGGGUUAGGCCUAGUUAAGGAAUGAGAUUUUGAAGGUGAAAUUUAAAUUUUUAAAACAUAAAAAAAAAUUAAAAAAGAAAUAAUCUUAUAAGAAUUUUUGAAUUUCCAAAAAAAAAAAAAUUGGAAAAAAUGUCUAUCAUAAAGAAUUUCUCAUUAUCUAAUGUAUUUAUCCUUUUUUGUCACAUUAUUCAAAUAUAUUUAUAAUUUCUUAAAUUCCUAAUUAAACUUAGAGAAAAGGAAGAAUCAAUUGGUGUUGAGAAGAAAAAAAAAAAUCAAAACGGCACCGUGGAGAGAGGAUGAUUUCUAGAACUUUCUUUAAAUGUCUCUUCUACGUGAAAGACGAUUGAAAGACAGUCUCUCACGGAUUCACCUUCUUCCUCGUUGUCUCCCAACUCUCAGGUGCAAUGGCAAGCAAGUUUCCCGGAAUGGAGAAUGAAAUACUCGAGGUCUUCCCCAAACUUGAUGAGAUUCCACCUGGAAUUGCAAUAAAGUUUGAAGAAAUGAUUCGAUGCUUUCUACAGACUAAAAGCAAGAAUCCUACACUCAAGCAGUUUAGAGUUUAUAAACACCUCCGAGAGGUCUAUGAUGAUGAAGGCAAGCUUGUCUGUUUCUUUAAGACUUCCAGAGAUGCAAAGAAAGAAGCAGCAGUGUACAUUCUGGAUCAUCCACUUUCUGGACACCGUUCCGGUUCUUCCGAACUAAUAGGCUUUGGUGGUGCCACACCCACAGUCUUCAUCAGGACACAGGAUGCUUCCGGGUGUUUGGUAUCGUUCGUGGAGAAUGAUGGCGUGGUUGGUGAUGAUCAACACUCUUCCUCAAGAGAUCAUUAAGCUGUCCAUUUUCCAUCUGCGCUUCGGAAAUGCAGACUGUCACGACAGGAACACGGUCACGAAGAUUGAUGAUCAACGUGUGCACCGUCUGACUCCGGUUGAUCAUGAGGAGUGUUUCACAGUUACUUAUGCUAUGCGAAGACUGUGGUGGACUGUGAGGAAGGAGGCGAAAGAAGCUUAUACUGAUGAAGUGGUGGGUUACGUGCAAGGGCUCGACGUUGAUGUAGACAUUGCAUUCUUGAAGAGAUGCGGUUGGGAAGUACCACGGGAGGUCUCGGUUCCAUACAAGAUAUUUACUCAUUUUCUGAAGAAAGGGGUCGAGUUUAAACUCACUGCAGAUCAUAUGGCGGUUCUUGUCCAGAAUAUU